CCGGCCUCUCCUCUAAUCCUCCUUCGCUCUCCAUCUCGCUACUAUCUAGAUCUACUAUAGUUUAGAGAAGAGAGGAGAGCUCUCAUCUCUAAACCCUAGCUUUUGCAAUGUCUAUGAAUAAUGAAUAAUGAUCAAGGGGUGCCUCCUCCAGGGGCUAGGGGGUCUGCUUAUAUAGUCCCCUCAAGUGAACCUGGGCCGUCGGAUCAAACCGACAUUGAUUGAACGGUUAUUCUUGAUCCUUUAGGUCGGUGGAGCAUAAUCCCCGAAGAGAGUCCUGAUUGGACUCUGUAGCUGGGUGGGCGCCCAAGGGGGGUGGGCGGGAGCCCUGCCCCCGAGCCCGCUCGGCCUCCCGUUCGUUCCCGUGGCUUCUGGAGUCUUCUAGAUGAUAGAAAAUUGCGCGGCACGUUAAUAUCUCUAUGUAAACCAGACGUGUGGGCCUUCUCUCCAUAUUUCCUGAUAACCCCCUGCAGAAAUAGACAAACACCAAAACUCGUGGAAUUCUGUCAGAUAAAACCCUAAGUCUGGGUGUUGGAUGCAUUUGGAUCCUUUUCUUUAUAUAUUUGGUAGUUAAAUUUGAUACUUAAGGACUGUCAACAACUCCCCCAAGCUUACCUCUUGCUCGUCCCUGAGCAAGGAUGGACUCAAGAGUUUCUGCAGUGGUUUCAUGUCUUAAAGGUACACAUGCAUUCAAACAAGAUCUCAUCUCUAGGUUAAGGUAAACUGUUAAGAUUUAAACUUACUCAUAUUACCUUCCUCCAUGGGGCUUGCAACCGUUACUUGUGUCUGGAGCAGUUAAAAGAUAGAACGGUCAAGUCAAGCACCAUGUCUCUUGUUCUUUGAUCAACUAUAGCUCUGGAGUUUUUGCAGAUUUUUAAAUGAAACUCAGAGAUUCCUUGUAUGACUCUCUCUAGUUUCUCUUUUGUGGUAUUUCUGGAUCAUUACCAAGGCAGUGAUGAUAUAUGCCUUCUCUCAAAGUAUGUGGUAUUUGUGGUAUGAGGCAUAAUGAUAUUGCCUUCUCUCUCACCCUACUCUAACAAGGUUUUGAUAUCUGGAGCUUAUAGGUGGGAGACAGCUAAUACAUACUUACAAGACAUUUAUUGCAUAGUCAAGCCAUGGAUCCAGAGAAACGAGUCAAUAAGUCAAACCAAGAUGUGCAUGUGUGGUGGAUGAAUGGUGUAUGGUGAUGAUGGUGAUAGUCUAAUUCUACUUUUGCUCUUUUGAGGGGAUACAUACCUUUCUUGCACUUUGAAGGUUUUUGAGAGGAAUGAGAUGCUCUAUAUUUUCUUUUUUUUUCUUUUCUCUCAGGUGGGUAUCGUGUAUCCCUAAUUCUACUGUCGGACAAUUGUCCAUUUUUAACUCUCAUCUCAAUUUUUCUUUUCUUCGAGGUUCCGGGCACUUGCCCCUUUUUAUUUCCUCGUAUUUUUUUUCUUUUUUUCAGAGCAUUCACCCUCCUAGAAUAAUGUAGCAAGUGGUAGUAACCAAAAUAUCAAGAGCAUUUAUUUCACGGAGAAUAACAGGGAUAGGAUAAUGUUUUUGGCUAUUCUCUCCCAGAUAGAAGUAGAAUAAUUUUGGGUGAAUCUGGAGAUGGAAAUGAGUGAAUGUAUGUGGAUGCGUACUUCCGGAGUAGAAGCAGCAUGUAUGAGUGAACGUGCAAGUAAAUCUUGAUUUUAACCACAUGACAAGCUCCUAAGGGUCUACACAGCUUGACCACACUCAAUGCUCAUAAGCAGUAAAAAGUAAAUGUAUGGUUCAUAGUCUAAUAAGCAUGUUUAUAUGGCUGUGGUAGGAUUUUAAACUCUCAUCAUACAGGAACUCAUCAUGCAACAUUUGAAAGAUUUUUAAACAUAAAAUUCUCCAGAAUUCUAGCAUCUCUAGGAACAGAUAAAAAGCAGGUCAACCAACCCAUAUCGUAUCCGUUAACGACUUAGACUUUAGAUCAAGUAAUCUUCCCACAAGUUCAGGUUUAGAGCAAUCUUUAAAUUAUAACAGUCAUGCCUAAACUUGAGAGAGAGCUCAAAUUUGAAAACUAGGUAAUUGGCAAAGCAACUAUUCAUCAUAUCCAUGUGAGAGCUUAUCAUGAGGGUUCAUAGCAAACUUUAUUUAUUUAUUUAUUUAGCAAACUAAGAAAAGAUAUAUAUAUAUAAGCAUAAAAUCUUUAUUUAGGUUUUUAUGAUUAUGCAUCUUUUUAUUAUUUAAGUAUAAAUGCGAGUAGAAACACUUAGCUGGAUAAAUGGGGGUGCUCUCUCCCAAGCUAAAUUUCGACGUAAUUUCUUUUGAUGUAGCUAGCAGGUGGCAGAGGUGUAUUUGAAUGUCGGCAGUACCCUGACAGCGAUUAGAAUGUCCUCCGUCUGCUAGUCUUCUUUGAUCCUUGAAUUCUGUGGAGCUCAAAUAGACAACAAAGCUUUGUGGAACUAGUUAAGUGUUAGCAUAAAAAUCUCUUUAUCUUUAUCAUGUUGAGCUUCCUCUAAUAAAUAUUACUCUCUUUGGUAGGAUCAUAAAUUUAUUUUUAUAUUUUCAUUUCUAUAGAACAGGAAUAUAUUUAUUUUAUUUUUACGCCACCACAGUGAAUGUACUUAUGGGUUUUAUGCCACGAGCAAACUCACAUGGGGCUUAGUAUUUUUAAUAUUUUUUUUAUUUUUUUCAAGAUAGCAUGAUUAACUAACAAACCAUUUAAGGAAACUAAAUAAUUUAAGGUAAAAGGGAAUGAAAAAAGGACAAAUAUGGAUAACUAGCGAUUUUACCUUUCGGUGAGGGUUCAAUGUUUUAAGUCUUCGGAACAAGACUUCUCACCGUGUUCAUUCUUCAGGUGCGUCAUUUGAUUCAGGUGUGGACCUUAACGUCUGCACCUCUUAAUACGGUGUCACCCAUGUUCUUCAUUUGCCCAGCAGUUUGAAGUGCGGCGUUGGCAGUAUCCUACUCAGUGUGUUUAUGCUUGUAGAUCCAGGUCCUUCACUUGAUGGAAUCUGGGAGUUGUAAAACUCCUCCAUGUUUCUCAAAAUGUGUCUUGCUCAUAGAGACAAGGCAGAGAUCAAGUGCAUUGGCCCUGUUGGUGGAGAACACCAACAGAACCAAAAGUGUAUUUGUUCUUCUCUAACCUUAAGCAUAGUGAAGAAGACAAAGGUGAUGGAUAAUAAGAUCAUGAGUGUAGUAUUUAAAUAUUUGUCAGAUUAGAUCGCUCAACCUUAUGGAAAGAUAAUCUAUCUAUGUAUAUGUCUUUUUCUUUAUAUCUCUCAAAGAUUGAAUGUGUAAUAUUUUAGCUCAUAUGAUUAGGAGUGUGGGAUCACAAAAGUGGAAGGACUAAACAUGUUGAAUCGAUUGGGUUGGUUAACCUAGAGUUGUAAAUCAUACAUGUUUGUCUCUUUAUUUAUGUGAACGCCAGAACCAAGGAGAUGCUUAUAAAAGUGAUAGUCAGAUAUCUUAAGAUGUUACCUUACUUGAAGAGUGAUGGUAUAGUAUCACCUUGUGGAAGCUUUCCUUUCGUAGUGGUUGUGUAUCUUGUUUAUGUACUUUGUCUCCUUCCAUGGAUCAUCUCUGUAUGAUGAAUGAGCUAUGUCCUUCUUGUGCAAAUUGUUAAACUUCAUGUGUCACUCUCUUCAUCUCCGAUGUGAGUUUAUCUCAGGACUUCCCAGGUAGAUAAUGAAAGUUUUCCUACAGGGGUUAGUCCGACAAAAUAUACCAAUAUCUACUCAAGCAGUUUUUAGUUCAGUAACCAAACUAGACUCCAUGUCUAAUCAAAUUAAGGAAGGCUAUUUAACCUAAGCACCAUGCUUAAUUUAAAUGUCAAUGGAAGUAUGGCGAGUACUUCCAAACCAACACUUGCUAGUAAAUAGACAAAGGUAGCAUGACAGCAUUUAUAG
RNAcentral lists this long non-coding RNA (3857 nucleotides) under Sorghum bicolor (sorghum). RNAcentral describes it as "long non-coding RNA (SBIC_LNC006501)". Lineage: Eukaryota; Viridiplantae; Streptophyta; Magnoliopsida; Poales; Poaceae. The record is from RNAcentral.